RNAcentral lists this ribosomal RNA (481 nucleotides) under uncultured bacterium. RNAcentral describes it as "bacterial SSU rRNA". It matches the Rfam family "Bacterial small subunit ribosomal RNA", at positions 791 to 1268 of the family's 1533-position model. The record is from RNAcentral.
UAGUCCACGCCCUAAACGAUGUACACUAGUUGUUGUGAGGCUAGACCUUGCAGUAAUGCAGUUAACACAUUAAGUGUACCGCCUGGGGAGUACGGUCGCAAGAUUAAAACUCAAAGGAAUAGACGGGGACCCGCACAAGCGGUGGAGCAUGUGGUUUAAUUCGACGAUACGCGAAGAACCUUACCUGGACUUGACAUAGAUAGAACUUUCAAGAGAUUGAUUGGUGUCUGCUUGCAGAAACUAUUAUACAGGUGCUGCACGGCUGUCGUCAGCUCGUGUCGUGAGAUGUUGGGUUAAGUCCCGCAACGAGCGCAACCCUCGUCGUUAGUUGCUAACAGUUCGGCUGAGAACUCUAACGNGACUGCCUAGCAAGUAGGAGGAAGGUGAGGACGACGUCAAGUCAUCAUGGCCCUUACGUCCAGGGGCUACACACGUGCUACAAUGGGGUAUACAAGAGCAGCAAUACGGGUGACGUGGGAGC